Molecule: long non-coding RNA, 476 nt
Filed under: Capsella grandiflora
Lineage: Eukaryota; Viridiplantae; Streptophyta; Magnoliopsida; Brassicales; Brassicaceae
Description: long non-coding RNA (CGRA_LNC001559)
Source: RNAcentral
AUACAUCUGUAUAUAUGUACACAUCAUUUUACAUAUCAAAGCAAAUAACUGGACGGUGUUGGAAUUUUGGCGAAAAGGGAUGGCCACGCCUGCACUCACUUCCCAAACAUAGGGGCACACCAAAUCUUUUUUUUGUUGUUUUCUUUUUCAUUCUUUGGUUGCAAUUUAAACGUAAAGAUGAACAGUGUGUGAUAUGAUAAUUUUUCAUAUAAUAGGAGUAUAUAUAAAAACUAACUAUUUUUUCAUUCUUUUUAUGAAUUUUGGCUUUUAGAAAGAAAAAGAUCGAGUAAAUCGGAGACUGACACCAGUGACGGCCACUUCACUUGAAUAUAAAGUUCAUGGCGGGAUGAUGAAGAAUUUGAUCUUCUACAUCGUAAUUAAGCACUUACGUAAUUCUCGCAGUUUUGUUAUAAUUACUUAAAUUAAUCUCAUGCAACUGUCUUUUGUUAUUAUGUAAUUUUUUAUUAAUUUUGAUA